AACGAACGCUGGCGGCAUGCCUAACACAUGCAAGUCGAACGAGACCUUCGGGUCUAGUGGCGCACGGGUGCGUAACGCGUGGGAACCUGCCCUUAGGUUCGGAAUAACUCCCCGAAAGGGGUGCUAAUACCGGAUAAUGUCUUCGGACCAAAGAUUUAUCGCCUUUGGAUGGGGCCGCGUUGGAUUAGCUAGUUGGUAGGGUAAAAGCCUGCCAAGGCGACGAUCCAUAGCUGGUCUGAGAGGAUGAUCAGCCACACUGGGACUGAGACACGGCCCAGACUCCUACGGGAGGCAGCAGUGGGGAAUAUUGGACAAUGGGCGAAAGCCUGAUCCAGCAAUGCCGCGUGAGUGAUGAAGGCCUUAGGGUUGUAAAGCUCUUUUACCCGGGAUGAUAAUGACAGUACCGGGAGAAUAAGCUCCGGCUAACUCCGUG
This 433-nucleotide ribosomal RNA is filed under the name uncultured bacterium. RNAcentral describes it as "partial 16S ribosomal RNA". It matches the Rfam family "Bacterial small subunit ribosomal RNA", at positions 29 to 507 of the family's 1533-position model. The record is from RNAcentral.